AGCGAACGCUGGCGGCAGGCCUAACACAUGCAAGUCGAAUGAACUCUUCGGAGUUAGUGGCGGACGGGUGAGUAACACGUGGGAACGUGCCUUUUGGUUCGGAAUAACUCAGGGAAACUUGUGCUAAUACCGAAUGUGCCCUUCGGGGAAAGAUUUAUCGCCAUUAGAGCGGCCCGCGUCUGAUUAGCUAGUUGGUGAGG
Molecule: ribosomal RNA, 200 nt
Filed under: uncultured bacterium
Lineage: Bacteria
Description: partial 16S ribosomal RNA
Rfam family: Bacterial small subunit ribosomal RNA
Source: RNAcentral